This 24-nucleotide non-coding RNA is filed under the name Arabidopsis thaliana (thale cress). The record is from RNAcentral. Lineage: Eukaryota; Viridiplantae; Streptophyta; Magnoliopsida; Brassicales; Brassicaceae.
CCAUAUCGAUGGUGUGGAUGUGAC